GGGUCUGUAGCUCAGUAGGUUUAGAGCGCACCCCUGAUAAGGGUGAGGUCGGGAGUUCGAUUCUCUCCAGACCCACCA
RNAcentral lists this transfer RNA (78 nucleotides) under Gammaproteobacteria bacterium. Its description in RNAcentral is "tRNA-Ile". It matches the Rfam family "tRNA". Rfam says of the family: Transfer RNA (tRNA) molecules are approximately 80 nucleotides in length. Their secondary structure includes four short double-helical elements and three loops (D, anti-codon, and T loops). The record is from RNAcentral. Lineage: Bacteria; Pseudomonadati; Pseudomonadota; Gammaproteobacteria.